Molecule: ribosomal RNA, 490 nt
Filed under: uncultured bacterium
Lineage: Bacteria
Description: bacterial SSU rRNA
Rfam family: Bacterial small subunit ribosomal RNA
Source: RNAcentral
GAUGAACGCUAGCGGGAGGCUUAACACAUGCAAGUCGAGGGGCAGCAUAGGGUAGCAAUACUCUGAUGGCGACCGGCAAACGGGUGAGUAACGCGUAUGCAACCUACCCUGUACAGGGGGAUAACCCGGAGAAAUUCGGACUAAUAUCCCGUAAUAAUAUCCGGAGGCAUCUUUGGAUAUUUAAAGUUCCGACGGUACGGGAUGGGCAUGCGUAACAUUAGCUGGUUGGUAAGGUAACGGCUUACCAAGGCUAUGAUGUUUAGGGGUCCUGAGAGGGUGGUCCCCCACACUGGUACUGAGACACGGACCAGACUCCUACGGGAGGCAGCAGUGAGGAAUAUUGGUCAAUGGGCGGAAGCCUGAACCAGCCAUGCCGCGUGCAGGAUGACGGCCCUACGGGUUGUAAACUGCUUUUCCCCGGGGCGAAUAACCCCCUCGCGACGGGGGAGUGCCGGUACCGGGGGAACGUAAGGAGUCGGCUAACUCCGUG